ACCAGGCACUCCUGGCCUCGACGUCACACCCCAUAAGGGGUGUGACAUCGAGGCUCCGGUCGGAGUUUAGAGCUCA
This 76-nucleotide unclassified non-coding RNA is filed under the name Mammarenavirus piritalense. Its description in RNAcentral is "intergenic region". Lineage: Riboviria; Orthornavirae; Negarnaviricota; Bunyaviricetes; Hareavirales; Arenaviridae. The record is from RNAcentral.